CUGACCGUGCNAAGGUAGCAUAAUCACUUGCCUAUUAAUUGUAGGCUAGAAUGAAGGGGCAAACGAAAUUAUUACUGUCUCUAAUAGGCUUAUAAAAAUUAAUCUAGGAAGCGAAGAAGCUCCUAUAACCUCGCAGGACAAGAAGACCCUAUAGAGCUUUAUUAAACCUCUUUAAAUAAAAGAUAUUAAUUCGGUUGGGGCGACCUAGGAUAACUUAAAACAACCUAAAAUAAAUCGAUAUACAUAUCUAAUUCUAGACCCGCAUACGCGAUCAACGGAACAAGCUACCUUAGGGAUAACAGGCUAAUUAUCUUUAAGAGCUCAUAUCUACAAGAUAGAUUGGCACCUCGAUGUUGGC
This 358-nucleotide ribosomal RNA is filed under the name Pirodrilus minutus. RNAcentral describes it as "partial 16S ribosomal RNA". It matches the Rfam family "Bacterial large subunit ribosomal RNA", at positions 1942 to 2536 of the family's 2925-position model. Lineage: Eukaryota; Metazoa; Annelida; Clitellata; Tubificida; Naididae. The record is from RNAcentral.